This is a long non-coding RNA of Sapajus apella (tufted capuchin), 887 nucleotides long. RefSeq lists it as uncharacterized. The record is from RefSeq and is a predicted model, not a curated record. Lineage: Eukaryota; Metazoa; Chordata; Mammalia; Primates; Cebidae. The transcript is spliced from 2 exons.
UGUUUUAAAACAUUUAACAUCAAAUAUUUUUCUGACUUACAGUGUGGUGUUAGAAGUUGAAGUUUUAUGAUGAUUUUGUUCUAAAUAAGUCUAGAUCUCCUCCAGUAGAAAGCUCCCUGGUGAGGCGUGGUGACUCAUGCCUGUAAUCCCAGCACUUUGGGGGAAGCCAAGGCAGGAGGAUCACUUGAGCCCAGGAGUUUUAGAGCAGCCUGAGCAACACAGGGGGAGACUCUGUCUCCAUAGCUAAUUAACUGGGCACUGUGGUGCCUAGCUACUUGGGAGGCUGAGGUGAGAAGAUAACUUGAGCCCAGGAAGUGGAAGCUGUGGUGAGCUGUGAUCACACUGGUAUACUCUAGCCUGGACAACAGAGCAAGACCGUUAAAAGAAAAACGGAAAAAGAAAGCUUCCUGACUACUACUUCCAACUUCACUAAAAGACUCAGAGACUUUGAGUUUUCCCCUUUAUUUGUAACUCUUUUUCUGUAUGUCUUAUUAUUAGCAUAAAAAAUCAGUAAACCAAUUAGGAUGCUAAUGUAUUUAGCACAUCAAAUUAUCUCAGGCUAAGGAAAGCAGGCAAAUUACACAUUUGUUUCUAUACUAAAUAUAGCCCAAAACAGUCAUUAUUUAUUUUAGACUGUUGUUUUUUGUUUCACUUCCUUACUGCACAAUUACCCUGAACCCCCAAGGUAGCAUAUCUUUCCUUCCAUCAAUCUCUUUUUAGAUUUUUUAUUUUGAGAUUUUUUUAAGCAUAGAGGAAAAGAGAAUAAUACAAGUACUCAUGUAUACAGAAUAUACUCAUUGUUUCUCCAUUAGGUAUUUUAAAGUAAGUUGUAAACAAUGUGACAUUUCAGUUAGACUUUUGGAUACCUCCAUAUGUCUCUGUUUUUU